AUGACUUGUGGAUAGCGGAGAAAUUCCAAUCGAACUCGGAGAUAGCUGGUUCUCCCCGAAAUAGCUUUAGGGCUAGCCUCAUGUUAGAUAUCCGGAGGUAAAGCACUGAAUGGCCUAGCGUCCGAGAGGAUAGCGAAGCCUAUCAAACUAAGAAUGCCGGAAUAUUGAUGCAUGGGAGUCAGACAGUGUGAGAUAAAUCUCAUUGUCAAAAGGGAAACAGCCCAGAUCUACAGCUAAGGUCCCAAAUUGUAUCUAAGUGGAAAACGAUGUGGAAAUACGCAGACAACCAGGAUGUUGGCUCAGAAGCAGCCACUCAUUUAAAGAGUGCGUAAUAGCUCACUGGUCGAGCGUCUCUGCGCGGAAAAUUUAACGGGGCUAAGAUACAAACCGAAGCUUAGGCUGCACUUUAAGUGCGGGGUAGGGGAGCGUUGUGUAAGCGGAGAAACAGUAGCGAAAGCGGCUGUGGAGUUUACAGAAGUGAGAAUGCCGGAAUGAGUAGCGCGAAUGUGGUGAGAAUCCACAUGGCCGGAAACCUCAGGUUUUUGGAGGAAGGUUCGUCCGCUCCAAGUUAGGCGGGAGCUAAGGUCAGGCCGAAAGGCGUAGCCGAUGCACAGACGGUAGAGAUUCCGUCCCCACCGAAAGAUUUAAGCACAGGGACACUUUUUGAAGGUCGGAGCCAGGUGUUGGUUCUGGUAGUGAUCGAGGGAAAUAUAGUACCGAAGUCCGGCUGGAUAAGAGGCGAGAAAAGCUGUGUGUAUAUCUAAGGUGCCCGUACCGCAAACCGACACAGGUAGGUAGGAAGAAGAUUCUAAGGCCAACGGGAGAAGGGUUGUUAAGGAACUCGGCAAAUUGACCCCGUAACUUCGGGAGAAGGGGUGCUCCAGAGAUGGAGCCGCAGAGAAUCGGCCCAAGCAACUGUUUACCAAAAACACAGGUUUGUGCUAAAUCGAAAGAUGACGUAUACGAGCUGACGCCUGCCCGGUGCUGGAAGGUUAAGAGGAGAUGUGCAAGCAUUGAAUCGAAGCCCCAGUGAACGGCGGCCGUAACUAUAACGGUCCUAAGGUAGCGAAAUUCCUUGUCAGGUAAGUUCUGACCCGCAUGAAAGGCGUAAUGAUUUGGGCACUGUCUCAACAGCCCGCCCGGCGAAAUUGUAGUACCGGUGAAGAUGCCGGUUACCCGCGACAAGACGGAAAGACCCCAUGGAGCUUUACUGUAGCCUAAUAUUGGGUUUCGAUGUUGCAUGCACAGGAUAGAUGGGACACUGGGAAACAAGUGCUUUGGCAUUUGUGGAGUGGCCGUUGGGAUACCAUCCUUGCGAUAUUGGAAUUCUAACCUGCGCCUUUGAAUCAAGGCGGGGGACAUUGUUAGGUGGGCAGUUUGACUGGGGCGGUCGCCUCCUAAAGAGUAACGGAGGCGUUCAAAGGUUCGCUCAGCUUGAACGGAAAUCAAGCAAAAGAGUGCAAACGCAGAAGCGAGCCUAACUGCGAGACUGACGGGUCGAGCAGUAACGAAAGUUGGAGUUAGUGAUCCGGUGGUAUGUGAGUGGAAAUGCCAUCGCUCAACGGAUAAAAGUUACCCUGGGGAUAACAGGCUGAUCUCCCCCAAGAGUCCACAUCGACGGGGAGGUUUGGCACCUCGAUGUCGGCUCAUCGCAUCCUGGGGCUGUAUUCGGUCCCAAGGGUUUGGCUGUUCGCCAAUUAAAGCGGUACGCGAGCUGGGUUCAGAACGUCGUGAGACAGUUCGGUCCCUAUCUGUCGUGGGCGCAGGAUAUUUGAUGGGAGCUGUUCCUAGUACGAGAGGACCGGAGCGGACGUACCUCUGGCGCACCAGUUGUUCUGCCAAGGGCAUAGCUGGGCAACUAUGUACGGAUCGGAUAAACGCUGAAAGCAUCUAAGCGUGAAGCCGACCCAAAGAUAAGAUAUCCCAUUGUUUCAAACAAGUAAGACCCCUUGAAGACUACAAGGUUGAUAGGCACGAUGUGUAAGUGGAGCGAUCCAUUCAGCAAGCGUGUACUAAUAGGUCGAGGGCUUGACCAC
RNAcentral lists this ribosomal RNA (2036 nucleotides) under human gut metagenome. Its description in RNAcentral is "bacterial LSU rRNA". It matches the Rfam family "Bacterial large subunit ribosomal RNA", at positions 804 to 2925 of the family's 2925-position model. The record is from RNAcentral.